RNAcentral lists this long non-coding RNA (632 nucleotides) under Phasianus colchicus (ring-necked pheasant). Its description in RNAcentral is "lncRNA (ENSPCLG00000018138.1)". Lineage: Eukaryota; Metazoa; Chordata; Aves; Galliformes; Phasianidae. The record is from RNAcentral.
CAGGUUUCUAACCUUUUUUUUUUUUUUCUUUUUUUUCCCCAAAAGGCUGUUUCAGUUGCUCACAUUUGUCUUAAUUUCUAAUCUCUUCAAACCUGCAGACCAAGCGCAAAGAAAAUAAUUUUCAUUUUUAGCUCAGGGACAAGCUGUGCAGGUGAAGAGAAUUCAUCCAGAGAACGCAAACCUGGAGUGAUGGGUCUCAAUGUGACAUCAGACAAUCCAGCCCUUGGUGGGUCACAUCCUGGAUGUCCCCACCUGGUGCCACUGGGUCCAGGCAGUAUGGAGGUGAUCUGGAUUUGCUCCUGCGAUGGGAUUCACCUCCCAAAAAGUCUCAGCCUGCUGUGAGUCACUCUGAUGUUUGCACCUUGCUGCUCCUUCUCAUUGGUCUACAAAGGAGUGAGGAUGAGAAGUUCCAUAACAAACACUCAUCUCCCUUCUGAGCUAAUGGGGUCAGACAGGUCUGCCUGCAAGAUACAGAUUUCCUUAAGGGCAUCAUAAAGAGAAGAGACAUGAGAAGAUGGACCUUUCAAUAUGACUCCAAAGUUCAUUAGAUUAUAACAUUUGCUCUACAUCUGUGCACAAGGCAAUGCCUCACAUCCAGCAUGAAACCCAGGAUUCAUUCCCUUACCCCUCCA